CCGCUCCCCACGAAAAUAACGUGUCGCCUGAACUGUUUUAAUCUCUCUUCUUAGAGCCUCGUUCUUUCGGGUUUCGAUUCAACGCAAUAAUAAAAUUAUACGCCCUGAAGUUCUAUACUGGACGGCCGAAUCACAUUAAAAAAGCAAACUCCCGAAAUCGUUUAAAUUCGAACCUCGCGAACAAUACGCGUUUUACACAGAAUCCGGUAUAAGGCACUAGACAGCGGCGAGCAAACAUUUCAGCCGAGC
Cinara cedri is the source of this 249-nucleotide non-coding RNA. The record is from the annotation of a GenBank genome assembly. Lineage: Eukaryota; Metazoa; Arthropoda; Insecta; Hemiptera; Aphididae.